ACCAGGCUCCUACGGGAGGCAGCAGUGGGGAAUAUUGGGCAAUGGGCGCAAGCCUGACCCAGCAACGCCGCGUGAAGGAAGAAGGCUUUCGGGUUGUAAACUUCUUUUAUUCGGGACGAAGCAAGUGACGGUACCGAAUGAAUAAGCCACGGCUAACUGCGUGCCAGCGGCCGCGGUAAUACGUAGGUGGCGAGCGUUAUCCGGAUUUACUGGGUGUAAAGGGCGUGUAGGCGGGAGUGCAAGUCAGAUGUGAAAACUAUGGGCUCAACCCAUAGCCUGCAUUUGAAACUGUACUUCUUGAGUGCUGGAGAGGCAAUCGGAAUUCCGUGUGUAGCGGUGAAAUGCGUAGAUAUACGGAGGAACACCAGUGGCGAAGGCGGAUUGCUGGACAGUAACUGACGCUGAGGCGCGAAAGCGUGGGGAGCAAACAGGAUUAGAUACCCCCGUAAAA
RNAcentral lists this ribosomal RNA (451 nucleotides) under uncultured bacterium. RNAcentral's name for it is "bacterial SSU rRNA". It matches the Rfam family "Bacterial small subunit ribosomal RNA", at positions 330 to 794 of the family's 1533-position model. The record is from RNAcentral.